GCGGUUAAGGCGCGGGUUGCCGGGCUCCCACGGCCCAAGCGUGGCCUUCUCAGUGGUCGUUGGGUCUAGAACUCCUCUUGAGGUGAUAGACUAGGAGAAGCUGCUGGCAUCACCAUCAGCCGGCUGGGAGUUCCACCUCUUGCUUCCUUAAGACAUCAGUAAAUGGAUAACCACAGACAGUGAUUCAGGCUUGAAGAAGGCACAAAUGUCCCUGCAUGGUUGCCAGGUCCCCAGACUACAGUCCCUGAAGCCUUGGUAGACCUUGAUUGGACCUUGGACCCCUUGAG
Balaenoptera musculus (blue whale) is the source of this 287-nucleotide long non-coding RNA. RefSeq lists it as uncharacterized. NCBI's taxonomy places the organism in Eukaryota, Metazoa, Chordata, Mammalia, Artiodactyla, Balaenopteridae. The transcript has 3 exons. The record is from RefSeq and is a predicted model, not a curated record.